Hordeum vulgare subsp. vulgare (domesticated barley) is the source of this 1348-nucleotide long non-coding RNA. RefSeq lists it as uncharacterized. NCBI's taxonomy places the organism in Eukaryota, Viridiplantae, Streptophyta, Magnoliopsida, Poales, Poaceae. The transcript is spliced from 8 exons. The record is from RefSeq and is a predicted model, not a curated record.
CCAAUCCCCAUCCACCCACCGCUGCCACAAGGCUCCGCCCCCACCCACCGUCGGCCACCCACCCUCUCCCCCUCCCUUCCACGCCCUCGCCUUCCUCCCUACCCAGGCCGCGGAUCCAACAGUCCAUGUUGUUCACCCCUCAUCCUUCCCCCUCUGUUAGGGUUAGGGUUUGCGGUUGGAGGGCCCAGCCGGCCGGCGAUGGACGCCGGCGACGGAGGUAUCGUUUCCACGGAUCUGUGAUGGAGUGCGUGCUUAUUUUCCUCUCCACGGAUCAAGGCAUAUCCACUGGAUCCAUGAGGUGUUGGAUACUACAUGGAUAAUUUAAAAUAUAUAUCACUGCCCAUACGCAUAGAAGUUUUUUGUUACCUUUUUUUGAAGAUUCGGCCCAAAGACCAGUUUCAAUAGUUCUGAAAGUAUGAUCGAGUUAAUGGAUAUAUUCGGUUGUCAAGUGACGACAUUGAUGGAUGCAGGACAAAGGGAAACAAGGAGAUUUUUAUGUUAGUUUUAGAAGACUUAAGAUAACUUCACUUGGAAAAGGGAUAUCAUCAAACGCUCAGUCCCGAGUAGAUUAUUCAGUGAGAAAGGUGUCGUUCAAGUGAUUGUUCCCCUGAUGUGGUGUCAAAAAGCGCACUAUUCUAUUCAACUGGGUUUGGGAACUCUGGGAGUAAGUACCUUGAAACAAUAUAUCGAGAUUGUAGUCUCCCUAGGAGGACUUAAAAUGGGCGUUGCGCAUCUGCCUUCGCAAAAUCAAUCAUAGUUUUGCCAUCUACCGGUGGCGCUGGAUGCGGUCGCCUACUUUGUCGCACAACUCCUUUGACCAUCACGUACAACCCAACAUGGGUGCUGCAGGAGAGGAGAUCAGAUGUAUAGAAAGAAAAGAAAAGGCUGCAAGUCGUGGUCGUUUACAGGAGAGGAGAUGGUGGACUUGCAAACACCUUUGAUUUUGUUCAAUCCUGUGGAGGGAAGGCGAGAUUAUGGAUGGAUGGAGCUUGGUUGAAAUUGGGUUGCUGCUGCUGUAUUGGCAUUUCAGACUCAAGAGAAUGUUCCUUGCCAAAGUAGAGAUUGGGCGUUGUCGCCAGCGACUCUGGCGGUUGAAUUCAUGAGCUUAGCUAGAUUAGGUAGUGUUGGUGUUGCUGUUUAUGGAUUUGUUGUGAAUAGGAAUAGCCAUCCUGGUUGCUCGCUGCACAUGUUUCAAUUUUUGUUGUUGCUUGACUUGGUAGUCAUUGCUCCCAUGAUAUCUUUAUCGAGUGAAUUUAUGAACAUACAUGUAUUUCUUCCAACGCUUCAUAUGUAUAGUGUUUCAUGUCUGUAGAUACUUAUCAUUUUGAUAAUUUUGUUCUAUAUCUGA